AGACGACUCAAGGGGGCAUCG
Molecule: microRNA, 21 nt
Filed under: Heligmosomoides polygyrus
Lineage: Eukaryota; Metazoa; Nematoda; Chromadorea; Rhabditida; Heligmosomidae
Description: hpo-miR-10096-5p
Source: miRBase by way of RNAcentral